CUCAGGAUAACGAAAAUAAACACUCUCAUUGCUGAGGAGUCCCACAGUCUCUGGCUACUUUGCCCUAUUUUCUGCCCCAUCCUGUGCCUUCUUUCCUUUUGUCCUUCUCCUGGAUGCUUUCUGCAUCUCUUUUGCUGCAGGAUGUGGUGGCCAUCCCCAUUCUCUGCGAUUUUAAUGAACAUCAGCUGUCUGGGAGAAGACUCCCAACAUCUGUCUUUUUUUUUUUUUUUUUUUUUUUUUGAGACUGGGUCCAGGCUGGAGUGCAGUGCUGCGCCCUGCAACCUCUGCCUCCUGGGUUCAAGUGAUUCUCCUGCUUCAGCCUCCUGAGUAGCUGGGAUUACAGGCACCCACCACCACACCCAGCUAAUUUUUGUAUUUUUAAUAGAGACGGGGUUUCACCAUGUUGACCAGGCUGGUCUUGAACUCCUGACCUCGAGUGAUCCACCCACCUCGGCCUCCCAAAGUGCUGGGAUUGCAGCCAUGAGCCUCCAUGCCCGGCCCCCAACAUCUGUCUUGUUCAAAAAAGAGCCAGCAUGUAGACAGGGACGGACCACACCAGGCAGGGCUGGGGAUGCUGGCCAGGAGAUGGGAUCUGAUCAUCAACUGAAAUGUUACCUGGGAGGUCUUCAGAUUGGCUGCCUCAUCUCCUUUCUCUCCAGGGGAUGCUUGCUAGCACAUGGAUCUUACUUCACCUCUUCUGGACAGUUUCCCUUCCCCCUGGCAGCCCUCACCAGGCUUCUGGGAAGUGAGGGGACAUAGGAAAUGGACUUCACACUAUUACUGAACAGAUGAGAGUCCCUGAAGUCAUGGAUUCAUUUCCUUCCUGAGUAGCCUUGUCACCCUUGUUGUUUCUCUCCACAGGUUUCAAGUUGCCCUAGCAUGCAGGAUGAGAUGGCUUCAGAGAGGAUGGGCAGCCCGGUUUCAUCAGAGUGACAGUGGAAAGUACCUUGGGCUUUGUGGUCAGAAGAGCCCAGCUCCAGGGCAGUGUGUUUCCUGAAGCCAUGUGACCUUGAGCAAAUCGCUUUUGUCUUUGACCCUCUGUUUUCUUCUGGGUUAAUGAAAAUAGGGGCGAUGCUUCUUUGCCACAGGUUCAUGACUGCCUGCCACUUCCUCUCUGUUCUCCUGCCUCCUCUGUCUGGAAGACAUGUCCAGUUUCCUCCACUCCUGGAUUCUCCUUGCUUUUGUCCUCAGACCAUCAGAUUCAAGAGAGGCAGUGCAGGUGGAUGGCAAAGGGACCCGGAUACAAAAAGCUGAGUCAGGCCCCGGGCCAGGGCUAACCAUGCGCAGGGCAGAGUCCCUGGGGCUGCAGUUGGUUAUCAUUACUGUUUUCUUUUUCUUUUCUUUUCUUUUUUUUUUUUUUUUUUUUUUUGAGACGGAGUCUCGCUCUGUCGCCCAGGCUGGAGUGCUGUGGCACGAUCUCUGCUCACUGCAAGCUCCGCCUCCCGGGUUCACGCCAUUCUCCUGCCUCAGCCUCCCGAGUAGCUGGGACUACAGGCGCCCGCCACUACGCCCAGCUAAUUUUUUGUGUUUUUAGUAGAGAUGGGGUUUCACCGCGUUAGCCAGGAUGGUCUCAAUCUCCUGACCUCAUGAUCCGCCCGCCUCGGCCUCCCAAAGUGCUGGGAUUACAGAUGUGAGCCACCGCACCCGGCCUUAAUUUCUGUUUUUAAAGACAGUGUCUCACUCUGUCACCCAGGCUGGAGCAUAGUGCUGCGAUCACAGUGACACAGGAAAAUAGGGUCUGAAGGCAGGGAACAUAAGGCCGAUUCACACUUCAGCUAUAACAGGAAAUAACCUCUCCAUAGGGCGUACGAGGUGAAUGACUUUGUAAUUUUACUUCAUCGUCUCCGUUUUACAUAGGACAUACCUGAAGUAAGCAAUGGAGUCCUCUAGGGGAUAUUUAAACUCCCAAAAAUUCUGUAAAGGGGCCUCUGAGCCCCUAUGCUCAAGCCUGCUCCCACACUGGAAUAUGCUUUCAUUUUCAAUAAAACCCUUCAUUCCUUC
This is a long non-coding RNA of Homo sapiens (human), 2001 nucleotides long. RefSeq lists it as uncharacterized. The transcript has 3 exons. Lineage: Eukaryota; Metazoa; Chordata; Mammalia; Primates; Hominidae. The record is from RefSeq and is a predicted model, not a curated record.